Molecule: ribosomal RNA, 292 nt
Filed under: uncultured bacterium
Lineage: Bacteria
Description: partial 16S ribosomal RNA
Source: RNAcentral
GGACUACUAGGGUUUCUAAUCCUGUUUGCUCCCCACGCUUUCGCGCCUCAGUGUCAGUUUCAGUCCAGGUAGCCGCCUUCGCCACUGAUGUUCCUUCCGAUCUCUACGCAUUUCACCGCUACACCGGAAAUUCCACUACCCUCUACUGUACUCCAGUCACACAGUCUAAGAUGCAGUUCCUAGGUUAAGCCCAGGGAUUUCACAUCUCACUUGUAUAACCACCUACGCGCCCUUUACGCCCAGUAACUCCGAUUAACGCUUGCACCCUCUGUAUUACCGCGGCUGCUGGCAC